RNAcentral lists this transfer RNA (67 nucleotides) under Marmota monax (woodchuck). Its description in RNAcentral is "tRNA.Ala". The record is from RNAcentral. Lineage: Eukaryota; Metazoa; Chordata; Mammalia; Rodentia; Sciuridae.
GGAUUAUGGCUCGGUGGUAGAGCGCUUGCCUGGCAAGUGUGAGGCCUGGGUUUGAUCCUCAGCACCA